Molecule: ribosomal RNA, 228 nt
Filed under: uncultured bacterium
Lineage: Bacteria
Description: partial 16S ribosomal RNA
Rfam family: Bacterial small subunit ribosomal RNA
Source: RNAcentral
CGUAGUGGCGCACGGGUGCGUAACGCGUGGGAAUCUACCCCUUGGGUUCGGGAAUAACAGUUAGAAAUGACUGCUAAUACCGGAUGAUGACUUCGGUCCAAAGAUUUAUCGCCCAGGGAUGAGCCCGCGUAGGAUUAGCUAGUUGGUGAGGUAAAGGCUCACCAAGGCGACGAUCCUUAGCUGGUCUGAGAGGAUGAUCAGCCACACUGGGACUGGGACACGGCCCAG